RNAcentral lists this ribosomal RNA (451 nucleotides) under uncultured bacterium. RNAcentral's name for it is "bacterial SSU rRNA". It matches the Rfam family "Bacterial small subunit ribosomal RNA", at positions 339 to 791 of the family's 1533-position model. The record is from RNAcentral.
AUACGGGAGGCAGCAGUGAGGAAUAUUGCUCAAUGGGCGAAAGCCUGAAGCAGCGACGCCGCGUGAGGGACGAAAUCCGUUAGGAUGUAAACCUCUUUUACAGGGGAAGAAUGUGCCGCUUGGCGGCAUUGACGGUACCCUGUGAAUAAGCACCGGCUAACUACGUGCCAGCAGCCGCGGUAAUACGUAGGGUGCGAGCGUUGUCCGGAAUUACUGGGUGUAAAGGGUCCGCAGGCGGGCAGGAAAGUCAGAGGUGAAAGACUUCGGCUCAACCGAAGAAUUGCCUUUGAUACUUCUUGUCUUGAAUCCGAGAGAGGAUAGUGGAAUUCAUGGUGUAGCGGUGAAAUGCGUAGAGAUCAUGAAGAACACCAGUAGCGAAGGCGGCUAUCUGGCUCGGUAUUGACGCUCAGGGACGAAAGCGUGGGUAGCAAACAGGAUUAGAUACCCGGGU